GGUGAUGGAGUUGACAUCAUAAGAGUUUCUCUUGAGCUGCUCAGGUUUUGACCCCAAGACCCUUGGGAGAUUGUCUGACCUCAUUGCCAGAAGCUUGCAUCAGGAUAUCCCUGACGACGAUAGUGAACAGCUUAACCAAAAGCAAAUCAUUGCAUCAGGUUAUAGGCGCUGGGCUGAUCGAUUCCCGGGUGUUAGAAAUGUUGUACAU
Long non-coding RNA from Hordeum vulgare subsp. vulgare (domesticated barley), 208 nucleotides. RefSeq lists it as uncharacterized. NCBI's taxonomy places the organism in Eukaryota, Viridiplantae, Streptophyta, Magnoliopsida, Poales, Poaceae. The transcript has 3 exons. The record is from RefSeq and is a predicted model, not a curated record.